Molecule: ribosomal RNA, 704 nt
Filed under: uncultured Pseudomonadota bacterium
Lineage: Bacteria; Pseudomonadati; Pseudomonadota
Description: bacterial SSU rRNA
Rfam family: Bacterial small subunit ribosomal RNA
Source: RNAcentral
AUUGAACGCUGGCGGCAGGCCUAACACAUGCAAGUCGAAUGGUAACAGGAAACAGCUUGCUGUUUCGCUGACGAGUGGCGGACGGGUGAGUAAUGUCUGGGAAACUGCCUGAUGGAGGGGGAUAACUACUGGAAACGGUAGCUAAUACCGCAUAACGUCGCAAGACCAAAGAGGGGGACCUUCGGGCCUCUUGCCAUCAGAUGUGCCCAGAUGGGAUUAGCUAGUAGGUGGGGUAACGGCUCACCUAGGCGACGAUCCCUAGCUGGUCUGAGAGGAUGACCAGCCACACUGGAACUGAGACACGGUCCAGACUCCUACGGGAGGCAGCAGUGGGGAAUAUUGCACAAUGGGCGCAAGCCUGAUGCAGCCAUGCCGCGUGUAUGAAGAAGGCCUUCGGGUUGUAAAGUACUUUCAGCGGGGAGGAAGGGAGUAAAGUUAAUACCUUUGCUCAUUGACGUUACCCGCAGAAGAAGCACCGGCUAACUCCGUGCCAGCAGCCGCGGUAAUACGGAGGGUGCAAGCGUUAAUCGGAAUUACUGGGCGUAAAGCGCACGCAGGCGGUUUGUUAAGUCAGAUGUGAAAUCCCCGGGCUCAACCUGGGAACUGCAUCUGAUACUGGCAAGCUUGAGUCUCGUAGAGGGGGGUAGAAUUCCAGGUGUAGCGGUGAAAUGCGUAGAGAUCUGGAGGAAUACCGGUGGCGAAGG